ACGUGAAGGCGAAAGAGUUAAUUUCGGUUCUAAUUUCAAGUACAUUGUGUCGAUUACCAUAAAUUAAAUCAGACUACAAGUUUACGUGUUCUUACGUAAGUUUUUAUUCUGUAUACCUGACUUGAAGAAUUUUAAACCAUUUUUCCUUAAAUUUAAACGUCAUGUUUGAGAAAACUCCAUUUACACUAUUCACCGUAGGCCUACUCUUCAUCAUAACUCUUGAAAUAAUUUCUUAUAAUGGCACAAAUGCUAGAAGUCUCGAUGAACUGAAGCGCCUGAAGCGCUCAGAUUCAUCCGAAGAAGAAUCGGAUUCCAAAGAAAAAUCGGAUCCCACACAAAAACCGGAUCCCAAAGAAAAAUUGGAUCCCACACAAAAACCGGAUCCCAAACAAAAACCGGAUCCCAAACAAGAACCAGAUAUAAAGCAUCCCGUUAGUACAACAACAAUGAAAUCUACCCAUCAUGAACCAGCUAUUCCACCAGUAGAGGUAGAUGAAAAUCCGACAGGACCUGCAUCAAACGAUGGGACGAGUGGUGGAGGAUCUACAGGGGGAUGUACUUGGGAAAAUUGGCAUACCUGUGCAUGGGGAUGUACGUGGGAUAAUUGGUGUGAUUGGAGUUUCAAACCUGAAUGGAAAUGUACUUGGGAAAAUUGGGAUAAUUGGUGCGUAUGAGCAUCGAAGAUUUUUGGUACAGUCAAACUUGGAUAAGUGGAACCCAUGUAAGUGGAAAACCUCUAUAAGUGGAAUAAAAUUCGUUUCCCUAGCACUUCCCUAUGUAAACCCAUGUUAAAGUCACCUCUUUAAAUGGAAACAGAACCUAUGUAAGUGGAAUUUUGUUUUGAGUAGCAGAACUUCUGGAACUGAAAUGUUGCUUUCGUUUUACCUCUAUAAGUGAAAUUCUUUUCCUUCUUACCUCUAUAACUGAAACAUUUAUCAUAACAGCGCCUCCAGAAGUGGAAUUCGUUCCAGUUAACGAGGUAAGAAGGAGGGGAAUUUCACUUAUAGAGGUAAAACGAAAGCAACAUUUCAGUUCCAGAGGUCCUGCUACUCAGAAUAAAAUUCCACUUAUAUAAGACUUUAACAUAGGUUUAGAUGGGGAAGUGGUAGGGAAACGAAAACCUCCAUAACUGGAAUUCCAAUUUGUUCAACCUCUAUAAGUGAAACCUACUUUAGUGGAAAACCUAUGUAAGUGGAAAAAAAUCCGUUUCCCUUGCGAUUCCACUUACCCAGGUUUGACUGUACUUCUGAGUUGAUCGAAUUCAUCAAUAUGGUACAAUGUUUAUGAUCUUAUCUAUUUAGACGUAAGUAAGCAUGAAUUUGUACUCAAACACCUACCCUAUGUAUAGGUAUACCUAUUCUUUUUUUCAAUUUUACUAAAGUUUAGAUAAAUAAAAAAUAAAAAAUCGUU
Planococcus citri (citrus mealybug) is the source of this 1410-nucleotide long non-coding RNA. RefSeq lists it as uncharacterized. The transcript has 2 exons. The record is from RefSeq and is a predicted model, not a curated record. Lineage: Eukaryota; Metazoa; Arthropoda; Insecta; Hemiptera; Pseudococcidae.